This 494-nucleotide ribosomal RNA is filed under the name uncultured bacterium. RNAcentral's name for it is "bacterial SSU rRNA". It matches the Rfam family "Bacterial small subunit ribosomal RNA", at positions 30 to 511 of the family's 1533-position model. The record is from RNAcentral.
AUUGAACGCUGGCGGCAUGCCUUACACAUGCAAGUCGAACGGUAACAGCACUUCGGUGGCUGACGAGUGGCGAACGGGUGAGUAAUACAUCGGAACGUGCCCGAGAGUGGGGGAUAACGCAGCGAAAGCUGUGCUAAUACCGCAUACGAUCUACGGAUGAAAGCAGGGGAUUCGCAAGGACCUUGCGCUCAUGGAGCGGCCGAUGGCAGAUUAGGUAGUUGGUGGGAUAAAAGCUUACCAAGCCGACGAUCUGUAGCUGGUCUGAGAGGACGACCAGCCACACUGGGACUGAGACACGGCCCAGACUCCUACGGGAGGCAGCAGUGGGGAAUUUUGGACAAUGGGCGAAAGCCUGAUCCAGCCAUGCCGCGUGCAGGAUGAAGGCCUUCGGGUUGUAAACGUAGCUUUUGUUACGGAACGAAAAGAUACUCUUCUAAUAAAGGGGGUACCAUGACGGUACCGUAAGAAUAAGACACCGGCUAACUACGUGCCAG